CAGGCGACGCGCUCCCAGGACACGCCGGGCGCACGGCAACCCCGCGGGCCCCCAGCGCGCGUCGCGGCCGCUCCGUGCAAACCAGCCGCUUCCCUAAGUCUGGCUGCUUCCCUAACCUUUCCUCCUUGCUACGUCCCCACCUCACGAGAGUGGUGGGAGACAAACUCGCAGGUACCUGUUCUCUGCAUUUCACACAUGAGGAAACCAAGACUCAGAGAAGCCAUGGAAUACGAUUUCUGUGACUCGGGAUGUGGCAGAGUCAGGAUGAGAAGUUCCAUCUGAUGCCAAAACUCAUCUCUUCGUUCUUUCCACAAAAAGAACAGGGGUCCGCACUGUGGCACAGCAGUGGAUGUGCCCCUGCAUCCUCACAUUCAGCGGAAGAAAGGAUCCUAGAAGAGGUGUUGACCUGUGUUCCAAGCAUCCAACAAUAUGGAGGAUUCAGAGAAGAUUUAAAACAAGUGAUAUCUGAUCAAGAACUGGGAAAUAAUGCCAACUAGGAAAGACCAUAGAAGCAGGACUGUGGAAUUCCACCACAUAAACCGCAUUCAACCUUUCCUGUGUCCAAGCACUGUUCUAGGCACAUUCUUUACUUUGAGACAAACAAACAAGCAGGAAAAAGAUCUUACAAGGACUGCACAUGCCAAGCUAUACAUCAGGAUCUCAACAAGGACUCACCGGCCACUCCGAUGGGCCAUACCUGUGCCAAGUGAGAGGCCAGGGCUGUUCCCUGUACACAAGGAGCUGACGUUCUAGUCAAAGAAAAGAGCUACUGAAGCAAAAGCAAUGACUAUAAAUGGCAAUCCUCUGUAUGUAUUUGCAUCAAAGACAAUGCUGUAACAAAGUGCUACAUCGUGUGAGGGAAAAGCCAUUGGAGAUUGAGUGCAGACCCAGUGAUGCUUUGGGGAGCUGCACAGAAGGGGGAGGGAGUGGAACAUUUCCUGAAACCUUCUCCAUGCCAGCCAUUUACCCGACAGUGCUGCAGGAUAGGGAACACAGUAUUGUUUCUGUCUUACAGAACAGAAAAUGCAGCCUCAGAGAAACUUAGCAGUGCUCAAGAUUACUCAGGAAGUAGGGGAAAGGUCUGUCUGGUGCCAAAAGCCAGGCAAUUUCUCCCCGCAGCUGUAGAGGAAAUUCUCAUCAAAUCCGCGGGCACCCAAGAAGAGGGCCCAGGGCUUUCCAGGUGGGAGCACACAGACAUGCAGGUGGAACAAGGAGAACGUGCUCCAGCCCCAGCAGGAGAGAGUGUAUUUGGCCGUGAUCCUGAAGGUGGCUCAUUCAGCAUUGCCUGAGAUUUCCAAGAGACACAAUCCCCUUCUCCACAAAUCUGUUAAAAGUGGCAUCUUGAAAAUUCCUUCUUUGUUUCUUCUCUCUUGAGGCAAGGGGGCAAAUGAAGAGACCUUUCAAUGUCUCCUCUACCCAAUGAAUCUCUGACUCUACGAGUUUCCUUCCCAAGACACUGUGGUCCAGAUGUUUUAAGCACUGUUUCCCUCCCAGCCUACAUGAUAACACGGGCAAAUAAUUUCUGUCAACAUCUAAUUGCACCAGCAAUGAGUCCCCCGUGCAUCAUUGGAGGGCAUAAAUGGGUAAUUGGAGCCCUGGUUAGUGGGAUGAGGUCACACUCUCCUGCUGGUUAAGAUGCAGACACUGCAGACAGAAGCCGUUCCUUUUAAGACUUAUAUUCCAGAUAGCAGCUGAAAAGGGCAAGAACAUUGUUCCAAGAAGCAGAAAGCAAAAGAAACAAAGAUUUCCUUGCUUUGGUCCAUGGGUCUACUCCCAUUGUAUCUCAAGUUGUAAUCCCAAAGACAAGGUCAAGGUCAUAACUAUGUCUCUUCUUGGGUUUAAGGCAGAGAGGCUCCUCUGGAAUCCCAGGCUUAAGAACUCUUGUGCUGGGCUUGGGUCAAUGGCCUCCAAGGACGUAAGAAGAGGAAGAGGAAGAACCCAGUACCAGCCAUGCCUAACUUCUUUUUCCCCCACUGAAGUCAAGGAAUAAAGGCAACAGUGAGGUGAGAAUCCCAAGAAGAGGAUUUCAUCCUUCAGCAAAAAACAAGACCUUCUCCCUGGAGAUCUUGGGAUGCCAUUUGCCCUCCAAAUCCAGAGGGAAAUCCUUGAAAGCAAGAAGACUAAGUCUCAUUUAUCAGUCUAAUUAUCAGCAAGGUGUAGUUUGUAGUGCAUACCUGGAGCACCUUCCUUUCCUGUCUAACAAAGUAUGCACCUUUGGUCCACAUCCACCUACCCAUCACAAAAGGAGUAAAAAAGACUCGCUUGUCCUUGAUUUUGAGAGAUGUUUUUAGUCAGAUCUAAAACAUGGUACUGGGGGGCCGGCACCAUGGCUCACUUGGUUAAUCCUCCACCUGUGGCGCUGGCAUCCCAUAUGGGUGCUGGGUUCUAGUCCCGGUUGCUCCUCUUCCAGUCCAGCUCUCUGCUGUGGCCUGGGAGGGCAGUGGAGGAUGGCCCAGGUGCUUGGGCUACUGUACCCACACGGGAGACCAGGAGGAAGCACCUGGCUCCUGGCUUCAGAUUGGCAUAGUUCCAGCUAUAGCAGCCAUUUGGGGAGUGAACCAACGGAAGGAAGAUCUUUCUCUCUCUCUCCCUCUCUCUCUCUCUCGCGC
Molecule: non-coding RNA, 2609 nt
Organism: Oryctolagus cuniculus (rabbit)
Lineage: Eukaryota; Metazoa; Chordata; Mammalia; Lagomorpha; Leporidae
Source: RefSeq, a predicted model, not a curated record